GUGUGUGUGUGUGUGUGUGUGUGUGUGUGUGUGUGUGUGUGUGUGUUUGUAUUCCCUAAUAAUUGUAGACGUCAACUAUGUUACACAUGUCGCCGUUUCUACACAAUACGGCUGCUGCUGAUGUAGAGUGAAUUGAGGCAGUGCAUAGGACAUCGCCAGAGCUAAACUACAAGCGAACCACAGCACGAGAUUACGACAUUUACCGUGCUGACACGUAGGCGUACUUUUGGAUCUAGAGCCGUAAACAUUUUCUCUUCGUGUUUCUUGUUUGUUUCCCAGCGCGGAAGCAUGUCAUAUUCUUUACUAUCUGACCUUAUUCCCAUUAUUAAUUUACAGCGACAUAAUAAGCUAUUUAAAUGUGCAUGAAUGAACAUCUACGGGCACAGUUAGUAUUUCUUCGAGAUAUAGCAUGCAGGGAUACAAUGCGGAUUGUUAUCAUGUUGUCGCUUAUUAUGCGUGAGACGAAAUUACAGCGUUCCAAGAUGACAAUGAUAGUACUCACCGAAAAUUUUAUUAUGCUCAUAAAGUGUUAGCGUAUAAUUAUAAGACCCACCUGCCCCGAAAUGUGCUCACUUGCCUAGGCGUUUGUUUUUGACAAGCCAUUCGUCGAUAAGAGGUUGCAUGCGUGCGCGUUGGAUGAAUUGCUACACAGCUGUUGUACCGAAAGAAAGCGAUUAAAAUUAUCGCGCAUCAGCAAAUACCAUGUGUGACCUUUGCGAUUAUGAUGGCAUUGCUGUAUUUCUCUAUCACCAAAGGAAUCUCUUCAUCGAACUACGGAGUGGAGUAUGGGCCUUUAAAUAGAUACCAUCCUCUGCGUGAAUCUCCGUUCAACAACAACCCAACUCAUCUUGGCUAUAAAUCGAGCCUCGGUCAUCGUUCGAGGCCGGCACUUCCGUUUUCAAAG
Long non-coding RNA from Priapulus caudatus, 904 nucleotides. RefSeq lists it as uncharacterized. The transcript has 3 exons. The record is from RefSeq and is a predicted model, not a curated record. NCBI's taxonomy places the organism in Eukaryota, Metazoa, Priapulida, Priapulimorpha, Priapulimorphida, Priapulidae.